RNAcentral lists this ribosomal RNA (773 nucleotides) under uncultured Neocallimastigales. RNAcentral's name for it is "partial large subunit ribosomal RNA". It matches the Rfam family "Eukaryotic large subunit ribosomal RNA", at positions 24 to 646 of the family's 3401-position model. The record is from RNAcentral. Lineage: Eukaryota; Fungi; Neocallimastigomycota; Neocallimastigomycetes; Neocallimastigales.
GUAGUCUCGCACAGAUGCAUAUCAAUAAGCGGAGGAAAAGAAACUAACAAGGAUUCCCCUAGUAACGGCGAGUGAAGCGGGAAGAGCUCAAAUUUGAAAUCUUAAAGGGUUUCCCUUUACGAAUUGUAGUUUAAAGAAGUGUUUUCUGUUGAGGUUUUGGUAAAAGUUCUUUGGAAUAGGACAUCAUAGAGGGUGAGAAUCCCGUAUUUGACCUUUACUUUCAACUUUGUGAUACACUUUCAAAGAGUCGGAUUGUUUGGGAAUGCAGUCCAAAAUGGGUGGUAAAUUUCAUCUAAAGCUAAAUAUUGGCGAGAGACCGAUAGCGAACAAGUACCGUGAGGGAAAGAUGAAAAGAACUUUGAAAAGAGAGUUAAACAGUACGUGAAAUUGUCAAAAGGGAAGCGUUUGACACCAGUGUUGUUUUUCUGAAAAUCAAUUAAAGAACUGUUUAUGCUAAGUUGUUUAGACUUUAUCAGCUAUCUGUUUAGUUAUGAGCUUUUCUUUAAUGCACUUUUCAGUUAACAAGUUAACAUCAAUUUCUUUUGCUGUAAAAAAGCUUGAGGAAGGUGGCUUGAGAUUCGUCUUAAGUGUUUAUAGCCUCUUGCCUAUGCAGUCGGAGAGAUUGAGGUCUGCAGCGUAGAUCCUUCGGGGCUAAAUGCAUUUGUGCUAAGUUAUAGCAUUUUAUAGACAACUUGUUGACUAUGAUUUGUCUUGUAGCUUACUCGCUUAUGUUAUUUUACCUACGCUUAGGAUGUUGACGCAUGAGAUAUACG